AUGGCCAACAACUCCACUUCUUCAGUUAACACCUCCAUAUCUGAGAGCUCGUCGAGGUGCCUGACAGAGUGCGUCACCACCGCCCACAACUUUGAGGUGAUCAGAUUCUCAAAGCUCGAAGGUAUGGGUGCUGGCAAGUUCAUUAGCUCGAGCACAUUCAGCGUCAGCGGCUACGACUGGAACAUCAGGGUCUACCCGGACGAGUGGAAGGAGGAGGACAAAGCUGCCCACUUGUCAGUCUUCUUGUGCUUCUGUAGCGGGGCAACUGGUGUGAAGGUAGAAUACACUUUGAGUUUAUUGGAGAAAGAUGGAAGAAUUAGUCAGAUAGCAAGCAUACCAAAUACCUUCUGGACUGUAGGUGGUUAUUGGGGCCGUGAUAAGUUUAUUGAGAAGUCCAAGCUGAAGGAACUGUUAUCCCGCAAUGGCGACUGCUUCACAAUCAGGUGUGUUUUGACCGUGAUGAAAGAGCCUCGCACGGAAGAUCUAGGCACGGUCAUAGUCCCAGUCCCGCAGUCAGACAUGCACACACAUUUUGCAAGCAUGUUGAAGGACGGGGAAGGCGUGGAUGUGACGUUCAGUGUCGGCGGCCAACUCUUCAAUGCACACAGAUGCGUGUUAGCGGCACGAUCCUCGGUCUUCAAGGCCGUGCUCUUUGGUAAAAUGAAGGAGACCACCAUGAAAAGCAUCGAGAUCGAUGACAUGGAGCCUGCCAUCUUUGAGGCACUUCUUCACUUCAUAUACACAGAUUCACUCUCCUGCGAUGUUGAUCAAAUUGUCGCAUUGCAGCACUUGUUUGUUGCCGCAGAUCGGUAUGGAAUGGACAGGCUAAAGGCUAUUUGUGAAGGGAAGCUAUGCCAGAGAAUCGACGUGCAAACAGUUGCAAUCACCCUUACUUUAGCGGAGCAGCAUGACGCCGUGCAUCUAAAAAAUGCUUGUCUUAGAUUCCUUUCUUCGCAGGGCGUGCUCCGAGCUGUCAAGGAGACUGAUGGAUUCAAGCACCUCACAACGAGCUGCCCGUCCAUUAUGAUGGACAUUUUAGACAAGGUCGCCCCACCUUCAUGA
RNAcentral lists this ribosomal RNA (1062 nucleotides) under Triticum aestivum (bread wheat). Its description in RNAcentral is "partial small subunit ribosomal RNA". Lineage: Eukaryota; Viridiplantae; Streptophyta; Magnoliopsida; Poales; Poaceae. The record is from RNAcentral.